GAGCGGCGAACGGGUGAGUAACACGUGGGUGAUCUGCCUUGCACUCUGGGAUAAGCCUGGGAAACUGGGUCUAAUACCGGAUAUGACCAUUGGUUGCAUGAUCGGUGGUGGAAAGAUUUAUCGGUGCGAGAUGGGCCCGCGGCCUAUCAGCUUGUUGGUGGGGUAAUGGCCUACCAAGGCGACGACGGGUAGCCGACCUGAGAGGGUGACCGGCCACACUGGGACUGAGACACGGCCCAGACUCCUACGGGAGGCAGCAGUGGGGAAUAUUGCACAAUGGGCGGAAGCCUGAUGCAGCGACGCCGCGUGAGGGAUGACGGCCUUCGGGUUGUAAACCUCUUUCGACAGGGACGAAGCGCAAGUGACGGUACCUGUAGAAGAAGCACCGGCCAACUACGUGCCAGCAGCCGCGGUAAUACGUAGGGUGCGAGCGUUGUCCGGAAUUACUGGGCGUAAAGAGCUUGUAGGCGGUUCGUCGCGUCGAUUGUGAAAACUUGCAGCUCAACUGCAAGCUUGCAGUCGAUACGGGCGGACUAGAGUACUUCAGGGGAGACUGGAAUUCCU
This 564-nucleotide ribosomal RNA is filed under the name Nocardia sp. 384B09. Its description in RNAcentral is "bacterial SSU rRNA". It matches the Rfam family "Bacterial small subunit ribosomal RNA", at positions 93 to 671 of the family's 1533-position model. Lineage: Bacteria; Bacillati; Actinomycetota; Actinomycetes; Mycobacteriales; Nocardiaceae. The record is from RNAcentral.